GCCCUUAGAGUUUGAUCCUGGCUCAGGACGAACGCUGGCGGCGUGCCUAAUACAUGCAAGUUGAGCGCUGAAGGUUGGUACUUGUACCGACUGGAUGAGCAGCGAACGGGUGAGUAACGCGUGGGGAAUCUGCCUUUGAGCGGGGGACAACAUUUGGAGACGAAUGCUAAUACCGCAUAAAAACUUUAAACACAAGUUUUAAGUUUGAAAGAUGCAAUUGCAUCACUCAAAGAUGAUCCCGCGUUGUAUUAGCUAGUUGGUGAGGUAAAGGCUCACCAAGGCGAUGAUACAUAGCCGACCUGAGAGGGUGAUCGGCCACAUUGGGACUGAGACACGGCCCAAACUCCUACGGGAGGCAGCAGUAGGGAAUCUUCGGCAAUGGACGAAAGUCUGACCGAGCAACGCCGCGUGAGUGAAGAAGGUUUUCGGAUCGUAAAACUCUGUUGGUAGAGAAGAACGUUGGUGAGAGUGGAAAGCUCAUCAAGUGACGGUAACUACCCAGAAAGGGACGGCUAACUACGUGCCAGCAGCCGCGGUAAUAAGGGCG
RNAcentral lists this ribosomal RNA (547 nucleotides) under uncultured Lactococcus sp. RNAcentral describes it as "bacterial SSU rRNA". It matches the Rfam family "Bacterial small subunit ribosomal RNA", at positions 1 to 531 of the family's 1533-position model. Lineage: Bacteria; Bacillati; Bacillota; Bacilli; Lactobacillales; Streptococcaceae. The record is from RNAcentral.